RNAcentral lists this ribosomal RNA (424 nucleotides) under uncultured bacterium. Its description in RNAcentral is "partial 16S ribosomal RNA". It matches the Rfam family "Bacterial small subunit ribosomal RNA", at positions 360 to 776 of the family's 1533-position model. The record is from RNAcentral.
AAUUUUGGACAAUGGGGGAAACCCUGAUCCAGCCAUCCCGCGUGUGCGAGGAAGGCCUUCGGGUUNUAAAGCACUUUUGUCAGGGANGAAAAGGUUCUGGCUAAUACCCGGAACUGAUGACGGUACCUGAAGAAUAAGCACCGGCUAACUACGUGCCAGCAGCCGCGGUAAUAAGUAGGGUGCAAGCGUUAAUCGGAAUUACUGGGCGGAAGGAGUGCGCAGGCGGUGCGGAAAGAAGGAUGUGAAAUACAUGGUCUCAACCAUGGAGCUACAUUCUUAAAUACCGAACUAGAGUAUGUCAGAAGGGGGUAGAAUUACGCGUGUAGCAGUGGAAUAAGUAGAUAUGCGGAGGAAUAACGAUGGCGAAGGCAGCCCCCUGGGAUAAUACUGACGCUCAUGCACGAAAGAGUGGGUAGCAAACAGG